AGAGUUUGAUCCUGGCUCAGGAUGAACGCUAGCGACAGGCCUAACACAUGCAAGUCGAGCGGGAUUCAGUAGCUUGCUACUGAUGAGAGCGGCGCACGGGUGCGUAACGCGUAUGCAACCUACCCUUUACAGGGGGAUAGCCCGGAGAAAUCCGGAUUAAUACCCCAUAGAUUUAUAAAUCUGCAUGGAUUUAUACAUAAAGUUACGGCGGUAAAGGAUGGGCAUGCGUAUGAUUAGCUAGUUGGUGAGGUAACGGCUCACCAAGGCAACGAUCAUUAGGGGUUCUGAGAGGAAGGUCCCCCACACUGGUACUGAGACACGGACCAGACUCCUACGGGAGGCAGCAGUGAGGAAUAUUGGUCAAUGGGCGCAAGCCUGAACCAGCCAUGUCGCGUGCAGGAUGACUGCCCUAUGGGUUGUAAACUGCUUUUUUUACGGGAAUAACCGCAUCAACGAGUUUGGUGUCUGCAAGUACCGUAGGAAUAAGGAUCGGCUAACUCCGUGCCAGCAGCCGCGGUAAUACGGAGGAUUCGAGCGUUAUCCGGAUUCAUUGGGUUUAAAGGGUGCGUAGGCGGAGGUUUAAGUCAGUGGUAAAAUCCUGCAGCUCAACUGUAGCAUUGCCAUUGAAACUGAAUUUCUUGAGUAUGGACGAGGCAGGCGGAAUGUGUAAUGUAGCGGUGAAAUGCAUAGAUAUUACACAGAACCCCGAUUGCGUAGGCAGCUUGCCAGACCAUUACUGACGCUGAUGCACGAAAGCGUGGGUAGCGAACAGGAUUAGAUACCCUGGUAGUCCACGCCGUAAACGAUGUUCACUAGCUGUAUGCAAUAUGACCGUAUGCGGCCGAGCGAAAGCAUUAAGUGAACCACCUGGGGAGUACGUUGGCAACAAUGAAACUCAAAGGAAUUGACGGGGGCCCGCACAAGCGGAGGAACAUGUGGUUUAAUUCGAUGAUACGCGAGGAACCUUACCUGGGCUUAAAUGUAGGUUGCAUAGAUCAGAGAUGGUCUUUUCUUCGGACUACUUACAAGGUGCUGCAUGGUUGUCGUCAGCUCGUGCCGUGAGGUGUCGGGUUAAGUCCCAUAACGAGCGCAACCCCUGCCGUUAGUUGCCAUCAGGUUAAGCUGGGCACUCUAGCGGGACUGCCGGUGUAAACCGCGAGGAAGGUGGGGAUGACGUCAAAUCAGCACGGCCCUUACGUCCAGGGCUACACACGUGUUACAAUGGCCGGUACAGAGGGCAGCUACAUAGCAAUAUGAUGCGAAUCUCGAAAGCCGGUCUCAGUUCGGAUUGGAGUCUGCAACCCGACUCCAUGAAGUUGGAUUCGCUAGUAAUCGCGCAUCAGCCACGGCGCGGUGAAUACGUUCCCGGGCCUUGUACACACCGCCCGUCAAACCAUGGAAGCUGGGGGUACCUGAAGUACGUUACCGCAAGGAUCGUC
This 1439-nucleotide ribosomal RNA is filed under the name metagenome. RNAcentral describes it as "bacterial SSU rRNA". It matches the Rfam family "Bacterial small subunit ribosomal RNA". The record is from RNAcentral.